UGGGAUAUGGUGUAAUGGCAGCACCAGGGAUUUUGGUUCCCUUAGUUCAGGUUCGAAUCCUGAUAUCCCAA
This 71-nucleotide transfer RNA is filed under the name Bacteroidales bacterium. RNAcentral describes it as "tRNA-Gln". It matches the Rfam family "tRNA". Rfam says of the family: Transfer RNA (tRNA) molecules are approximately 80 nucleotides in length. Their secondary structure includes four short double-helical elements and three loops (D, anti-codon, and T loops). Further hydrogen bonds mediate the characteristic L-shaped molecular structure. tRNAs have two regions of fundamental functional importance: the anti-codon, which is responsible for specific mRNA codon recognition, and the 3' end, to which the tRNAs corresponding amino acid is attached (by aminoacyl-tRNA synthetases). tRNAs cope with the degeneracy of the genetic code in two manners: having more than one tRNA (with a specific anti-codon) for a particular amino acid; and 'wobble' base-pairing, i.e. permitting non-standard base-pairing at the 3rd anti-codon position. RNAcentral also lists the same sequence under 1 other name. Lineage: Bacteria; Pseudomonadati; Bacteroidota; Bacteroidia; Bacteroidales. The record is from RNAcentral.